AGUAACGCGUGAGGAACCUGCCUCAAAGAAGGGGACAACAGUUGGAAACGACUGCUAAUACCGCAUAGCCCACGGCUCGGCAUCGAGCAGAGGGAAAAGGAGCAAUCCGCUUUGAGAUGGCCUCGCGUCCGAUUAGCUAGUUGGUGAGGUAAUGGCCCACCAAGGCGACGAUCGGUAGCCGGACUGAGAGGUUGAACGGCCACAUUGGGACUGAGACACGGCCCAG
This 226-nucleotide ribosomal RNA is filed under the name uncultured bacterium. RNAcentral's name for it is "partial 16S ribosomal RNA". It matches the Rfam family "Bacterial small subunit ribosomal RNA", at positions 109 to 334 of the family's 1533-position model. The record is from RNAcentral.